Molecule: long non-coding RNA, 2807 nt
Filed under: Heterocephalus glaber (naked mole-rat)
Lineage: Eukaryota; Metazoa; Chordata; Mammalia; Rodentia; Bathyergidae
Description: lncRNA (ENSHGLG00100047638.1)
Source: RNAcentral
CCAGGUUCUGGGGCUGGGCUGCCUCACAGGUCACUGUCCCCAGGUGUAAACAGCUGAUAACAGCUUAAACUGCAGGCAUUCCCUGAGGAGAUGCACACUGUAAUUGCAACUUUCUAGCCAGCAGACAAACACAGGCUUUUUAAUCCAGCCUUGUGACCUUCCAGAAGAAAAUUUCUCUUAGAAAUCAAAAGUGGGGGAGAAGGGACAACAAAACGGCCUUGGGCAUCCCCUGGCUCACAGCCUGACCCGGCAUUGAGGAAAACACACUUUUUAGUAAGUCCGUGGACCCCAACACGUUGGGCUCGGGGCUGGCCAGGUUCCCAACCACCUGUUCAGACCUGUGGGACUGAGGGCGAUCAGUUCCAUCUUCCAGGGCGUCCUCUUCUCCCAUCCUUCCAUCCACCCCUUCCUGGGUUCCGGGUUCCGGUUUCCGGGACGGACGGAGGGACGGACUGAGGCUGAGAUGUCCUGGUCUUGCAGAGCCACACCGUGCAACAUGAGUGUGGGAGCCACAUGUGUAGGUUCAUCUAGGGCCACAUUGACACCGUAAAGAGAAACGGGUGAAAUCACUUCUAAUAAUGCGUUUGACUUAACCCAGUGUAUCCCAAACAGCAUCUCAGCAUGCAAUCAAUAUAAACAAGCGAGAUAUUUUAUAUGACUUUGAAACACAGCAUGUAGACUCAGCCACCUUUCAGGAGCUCUGUGGCUCCUGGCUCCUUAGUUCAGUCCUAGACUGUAAUCCUGGUCUCCCUCCCUCAACUGCUGGGGGACGGAACCACAGGGCCUUUGCACUGAGGUAUAUCCCAGUCCUUUUUUCUAUUUUAAGAGAGGUUCUUGCUAAGUCCCUAAACUCCCUGGACUGGGCUCAGACUUUCGAUCUUCCUGCCUCAUCCUCCUGAGUGCUUAGAUUAUAGGCAUGCAGCAGUGUGCCUGACUCCUGUCUUAAUUUAGCAGAGUCCUCUUGUUUCCAGCUGGAGGUGACUCUUCCUUCAGGAAGUCUUCAUUUAUCUUUCCACUUUCCUCUCAGGCCUGUGAGAGUUAAAUGAGUUGAAUUAUGCAGAGUACCUAGAAUUGUGGGCGGCACUGUAACACCGUUUGUUAUACUGUUAUGAACAAUGGCUGGAUGGCGAUUAUUGCAUGUCUUUCUCUCCUUGUUCUACUCAGAGCUGCAGGAGGACCAAGGAUCCCACCUUCUCCCGGGCUCUUGUUUUAGGCUGGGUGCCUGGCACAAAUCAGUGCAUAUUCAGCAUAAAAGCACUGGGUGAAUGAAAAAGAAAAGCAAAUCCAUGGGUGAUUAGCCAUUCUAACUCUGCAGUUGCCAUGGGUUGAAAUCAGGCCUGGGUGGCAAUGUAUCGUAUCAGACUCUGUAUGUACAGAUGUCUAGACAAUGGCCCUAAAGAGAUGAAAUCUGGCCUCAGAAUGGGAUGAAAUCAGGGUGGUUGGGUGGGAAGGGCUCAGAUUUUGAUUUGGACACACCUGGCUCUGAAUCCUUGUCAUCUCUUGUACUGCUUGUAUGAUUUGGGAGAAGUUACUGAACUUUUCCAUGUCUCUGUUUGCCCAUCUGUAAAACGGAAUAUGAGCAUCUCUUCACCCUUUGUACCUAUAUGCAUAGUCAGCUUGGAAAUGGCAAGAACACAGGCUCUAAUCUCAGUUUAGCCACCCUCAGGCAGGCUGCUUAGCCCUUCUGUGCCUCGACACCCACUGUACCUACUGUGGCUAUGCGCUUUUGGUAUUCAACGAGACACAUGCUGUACACGUCAAGGCUUGAAAUAUGGUAGUUGCCCAUGUUAAUUCUAUACUUUAAUUUCCAGCCUAUGAAUUCUAUCUUUCUUUUCUCCUCUUUCCACUAGGCAGAAGGAACGUUCAAGUGGUUCACUAGUCAUCCUGCCUAGUGGAUACUGUGUAACAGGUUCAAGUUUUCCAAAGAUCCAUUGGGCAAAACUAUAAAACUUGCAAACUUUAGUCCUUCCACCCUUUUGCCUUAAUCUUCCUCCUCUUCUUCCAGAAAAUCCUCUCUUGUACCACGUUGGUUCUGAGCAUUUUCUUCUCUCUCCAGCUCUCCUAGAUUACUUUCUAGCUUGCUAGAGGGCAGCCAGGCACCCAGGAGGGCUUGCCUCUUGCUGCUGCACAUUCUCUGGGCGCUGCUGUUCUGCUGGAGAGGCUUUUCCAUGACUUCCUAAACAUCUGUUUGUGCAUUUUUCCUCACCAGGUGCCAAACAGUGUCACAGAUUCAGGCCUCUUCUUUCUGGAUCUGAACCAUUUGCAUUCAGCCAGAGACACCAUAGGUUGUGCGUAAGUGUGCCCUGGGUAUGAUCCAGUGAGUGCUUCUCACUGUCUUCCUCCCAAGCCUACCAAAGAAUGGCAGAUGCUAGGAUGAGAACCUGCAGUGGGCAGAGGCUGGCUGCUUGUCUGGAUGUGAAACAAAACCCUUCCAGACCUCUGGGGAAGAAGCAGAGGUGGGGAAGGGAGCUGGGAGCCCAGGAGGGCUGAUGUUAUGGCUGUGUCUAGAUGUUCCCCCAGAGCCUCCUGCGGUCACAGGUGGGGCUCUUUCAGAGGUGGCUGGAUCUUGAGUGUCUGACACUGGAAUUGAUUCAAGGUGCAAUGCUAGGUUCAGUGGCAGUGGGAUUACAGGUGUGAGUGCUACCCGCCCUAAGUGGUCUGGAUAAGAUAAAAGGGGCAGAAAGACUGUUAAGGUCUCUUGUGGCUUUUUGGUGUCUUCUGGCUGCAAAUGAACUGUUUCUUCUGUGUGAUGCCACCCUGCCUUGGAGCCAGCUGACUAUGGACAGAAACCUCUACAAACUAUGAGC